This 786-nucleotide ribosomal RNA is filed under the name Massilia suwonensis. RNAcentral describes it as "bacterial SSU rRNA". The record is from RNAcentral. Lineage: Bacteria; Pseudomonadati; Pseudomonadota; Betaproteobacteria; Burkholderiales; Oxalobacteraceae.
GCAAGACCUYRUGCUCCUGGAGCGGCCGAUAUCUGAUUAGCUAGUUGGUGAGGUAAAGGCUCACCAAGGCGACGAUCAGUAGCUGGUCUGAGAGGACGACCAGCCACACUGGAACUGAGACACGGUCCAGACUCCUACGGGAGGCAGCAGUGGGGAAUUUUGGACAAUGGGCGCAAGCCUGAUCCAGCAAUGCCGCGUGAGUGAAGAAGGCCUUCGGGUUGUAAAGCUCUUUUGUCAGGGAAGAAACGGUAGAGGCUAAUAUCCUUUGCUAAUGACGGUACCUGAAGAAUAAGCACCGGCUAACUACGUGCCAGCAGCCGCGGUAAUACGUAGGGUGCAAGCGUUAAUCGGAAUUACUGGGCGUAAAGCGUGCGCAGGCGGUUUUGUAAGUCUGUCGUGAAAGCCCCGGGCUCAACCUGGGAAUUGCGAUGGAGACUGCAAGGCUUGAAUCUGGCAGAGGGGGGUAGAAUUCCACGUGUAGCAGUGAAAUGCGUAGAGAUGUGGAGGAACACCGAUGGCGAAGGCAGCCCCCUGGGUCAAGAUUGACGCUCAUGCACGAAAGCGUGGGGAGCAAACAGGAUUAGAUACCCUGGUAGUCCACGCCCUAAACGAUGUCUACUAGUUGUCGGGUUUUAAUUAACUUGGUAACGCAGCUAACGCGUGAAGUAGACCGCCUGGGGAGUACGGUCGCAAGAUUAAAACUCAAAGGAAUUGACGGGGACCCGCACAAGCGGUGGAUGAUGUGGAUUAAUUCGAUGCAACGCGAAAAACCUUACCUACCCUUGA